Molecule: ribosomal RNA, 1133 nt
Filed under: uncultured crenarchaeote
Lineage: Archaea; Thermoproteati; Thermoproteota
Description: bacterial SSU rRNA
Rfam family: Archaeal small subunit ribosomal RNA
Source: RNAcentral
UGACGGGGUGCAGCAGGAGCGAAACCUUUACAAUGCACGAAAGUGUGAUAAGGGAACUCUAAGUGCUUUGCUUUUGCAAGGCUUUUGCCAAGUUUAAAAUGCUUGGCGAAUAAGUGGUGGGCAAGACUGGUGCCAGCCGCCGCGGUAACACCAGCGCCACGAGUGGGAACCGUUUUUAUUGGGUCUAAAGCGUCCGUAGCCGGUUUAGCAAGUCUCUUGUGAAAUCAUUAAGCUUAACUUAAUGGCGUGCUUGCAGAUACUGUUAUACUAGGAACUUGGAGGAGUCAGAGGUAUUUCUGGGGGAGCGGUAAAAUGCUAUAAUCCCACAAAGCACCACCUGUGGCGAAAGCGUCUGACUAGAAUAGAUCCAACGGUGAGGGACGAAAGCUAAGGGAGCAAUCCGGAUUAGAUACGAAAAAUCUUCUCGAAGAUUUCUGGAGUUAGGCUCGUAAAUUUGUCUAAUAAAACUACAUUUACAAGCUUAGACCAGAAUGUAUGUUGAUUUACUCGCUAACUACCCGAGUAGUCUUAGCCAUAAACUCUGCGAGCUAGGUGUUGCAUAUUCUUCGUGAAUAUGCAGUGUCGUAAUGAAGAUGUUAAGCUCGCCACCUGGGAAGUAUGGUCGCAAGACUGAAACUUAAAGGAAUUGGCGGGGGAGCACUACAAGGGGUGCGGCGUGCGGUUUAAUCUAACUCAACGCAGAGAAUCUCACCAGAGGCGACGGCAGGAUGAAGGUCAGUCCAAAGGGCUUACCCAACAAGCCGAGAGGUAGUGCAUGGCCGCCGUCAGCUCGUGCCGUAAGGUGUCCUGUUAAGUCAGGCAACGAGCGAGACCUGUACCUACAAUUGCUAACGAGCAGUUAUGUGAUCGAGCACAUUGUAGGGACUGCUCUCGAAAGGGAGAGGAAGGUGCAGGCUACGGUAGGUCUGUAUGCUCCGAAUCCUCUGGGCUACACGCGCGCAACAAUGGUAGUGACAAUGGGAUGCAACUCCGAAAGGAGAAGCUAAUCCUUGAAACACUAUCUUAGUUCAGAUUGUGGACUGUAAUUCGUCCACAUGACGCUGGAAUCCCUAGUAAUCGGAAUUCAAAAUAUUCCGGUGAAUGUGUCCCUGCUCCUUGCCCGAAUUCGCCGA